AGCGAGGAGUUGUCUUAACACGGGUUGCUAACCUGUUGUUAGAGAGAGUACGAGCUUUCCCUUGUUG
This 67-nucleotide transfer RNA is filed under the name Pecten maximus. Its description in RNAcentral is "tRNA-Ser". Lineage: Eukaryota; Metazoa; Mollusca; Bivalvia; Pectinida; Pectinidae. The record is from RNAcentral.